RNAcentral lists this long non-coding RNA (486 nucleotides) under Anas platyrhynchos platyrhynchos (common mallard). RNAcentral describes it as "lncRNA (ENSAPLG00000030776.1)". The record is from RNAcentral. Lineage: Eukaryota; Metazoa; Chordata; Aves; Anseriformes; Anatidae.
ACAUCCUGAAGAAACUCAUCCUGUAGUCAGCAUUCCUCCAGUGGUGAUUACUGACAUCUGAGGAGACUGACCUGUGGCAUACUGUCACUGCAGCAGAGUAUCUUGCUGGGAGAAAAUUUUGGGUUGUCUCCUGGAUUGAUCAGACUGUGGCUUCUCUGUCCUAUAUAGACAAGGAUAAAGAACCUCCCCGAGGUGCUCUAGGAGAGACAGCGAGAUCUGGUGGUGGGAUAUGGAGGUCUGAAGUCUCCCACCUGCUCUGCCAAGCAUGUACUCUCCAGCUUUGGUGUGGACUUUUCUGCUGGAGCUGGACUCUGCAGUACCAACUUGACAGCAUCUGGACCCAAACUCUGCUCAGGCAGCAUGUCUCCCAGCUUGGCCAGCACCACCCAUCAGGAAAAAUUGCUGUCUAACUGAUCCUUUGUGGACUUCCGACUGAAACCACCCAGUACAACAUAUGGUAAGUCAUUCAAUUCUUUUUAAACUCGG